GAAUUGUAUUUAAAUACAGACUUUCUUCUUCCUGGGCCCCCCAAAGGCCUCCCUUUCCAGAGCCUCCCUAACCUUCCCCCAUGCCUGCCAGUAACUGUGGUUUCUUGGUAAGGCAGCUAAGGUUCAUUAUUAUUAUUUAUACAAACACAAUGUACAGAAGUAGAAAAGUACAAAAAAAAGUAACCAGUGGAAAAUAAUUCUUUUUCUUACCUUCAGCCAUUCAGCGACCAAAGCACUGGUAUCAGAUUUUUUAUAUUCUCCUGGAGUUAUUCCAUGAAUAUACAAGUAUACAAAUUUAUAUAAAUUGAGAAAGGUAUGCUCUUGCUCUUUCUCUGUUUUUUUUGUUUGUUUGUUUUUAGACAGAGUCUCAUUCUGUUACCCAGGAUGGAGUGCAGUGGCAUGAUCUUGGCUCACUGCAACCUCUGCCUCCUGAGUUCAAGUGACUCUUGUGCCUCAGCCUCCCGAGUAGCUGGGACUAUAGGCAUCGCCACCACACCCAGCUAAUUUUUUUGUAUUUUUAGUAGAAAGGGGUUUCACUAUGUUGGCCAAGAUGGUCUCAAACUCCUGACCUCAAGUAAUCCACCCACCUCUGCCUCCCAAAGUGCUAAGAUUACCAGCAUGAGCCACUGCACCCAGCCAGAGGGCUUUCAGUGGUGUGCCCUCCACCCUGACAUGAGGAUGAAGCUGGAUAAUUAUCACCCUUUGGCAGUAAAAAUGAUGCUAAUCAUUGCACAGCUGGUGAGAAUAACCAGGUACAGAGUCUCUCCACCUAGCUAUAGGUGGCUUGUAAAUUACUUGCUGAGAAGACAACAGACACACCUACAUCAUACCUGUCAAGGUAACCAGUGGAUAUCCUUAGGCUUGGAUCAUAGCAUGAAGAAAGUCAUCACCUCAGCAGUUCUAAGGGGCACUGUGUGAUUGAGGAAAGACUUGGGUCAUCCCUGUAAUCCCAGCACUUCGGGAGGCUGAGGCGGGCGGAUCAUGAGGUCAAGCAAUCAAGACCAUUCUGGCCAACACGGUGAAACCCUGUCUCUACUAAAAAUACAAAAAUCAGCUGUGUGUGACAGCACGGCACCUGUAGUCCCAGCUACUCAGGGGGCUGAGGCAGGAGAAUCUCUUGAACCUGGGAGAUGGAGGUUGCAGUGAGAGGAGAUCGUGCCAGCCACUGCACUCCAGCCUGCGGGACAGCGCAAGACUCCGUCUCAAAAAAAAAAAAAAAAGAAGAAGAAGAAGAAGAAGAAAGAAAGACUUGGGGCUCAGCAUUGAGAGAUGUGCACGCAGUCCAGACAGAGAGAGGCAGAAGGGGAUUCAUCUGUACUACCCUACCACUUCUGAGAAAGCACAUGCAUCCAAACAGGAGUGCUUCUAUUCCAGUUCUGGGCUCAUUCAGCAACCUUCUGACAAUGGAUUUG
Molecule: long non-coding RNA, 1412 nt
Filed under: Callithrix jacchus (white-tufted-ear marmoset)
Lineage: Eukaryota; Metazoa; Chordata; Mammalia; Primates; Cebidae
Description: lncRNA (ENSCJAG00000080458.1)
Source: RNAcentral